CAGUGAAUUCUUAGGGAACCCAAAGUCAAGAUACCCUAUUUCGCCGCCUCCGCCUCCGCCUCCGCCUCCGCCUCGCCAUCGGCCAUUGUCGGUCUUCCACUUUGCAGGAAGGAAAUGGAGAAGUAGAAGAAGGAAUGGAGCAGGUCUUGUUUGAUGACAAGAUGUGCUGUUUUGUACACCAGAUAAAAUCCAUGUUUUUUUGCAACAUCAGCUGCAGAUAAGGACCAUCCAUGAUUGGCUCAAUGGACCUAUCAAGCUCAGUUGUUGGCGAUGAGGCAAUGAAGGAAGAGUGGGUGGUAGUUAAAAAACGUAGAAUUAUAAUUUUGGUUCCUCCAGCUGGAGAAUCUCAAUCUGUGGUUCCUAAGGUAAAAUCUACCAAGUCAAGAAGAAAUAUCCAAAUCUCGGGUAGUCCUAAGAGAAGGGCUAAAAGGAUUCCAAACAGAAAGAGCUC
Long non-coding RNA from Zingiber officinale, 451 nucleotides. RefSeq lists it as uncharacterized. Lineage: Eukaryota; Viridiplantae; Streptophyta; Magnoliopsida; Zingiberales; Zingiberaceae. The record is from RefSeq and is a predicted model, not a curated record. The transcript is spliced from 2 exons.